RNAcentral lists this transfer RNA (75 nucleotides) under Zea mays. Its description in RNAcentral is "tRNA-Asp". It matches the Rfam family "tRNA". From Rfam's summary of the family: Transfer RNA (tRNA) molecules are approximately 80 nucleotides in length. Lineage: Eukaryota; Viridiplantae; Streptophyta; Magnoliopsida; Poales; Poaceae. The record is from RNAcentral.
GGGGAAAUAGCUCAGUUGGUUAGAGUGCUGGUCUGUCACGCCAGAAGUCGCGGGUUCGAACCCCCGUUUUCCCCG